Molecule: transfer RNA, 67 nt
Filed under: Marmota monax (woodchuck)
Lineage: Eukaryota; Metazoa; Chordata; Mammalia; Rodentia; Sciuridae
Description: tRNA.Phe
Source: RNAcentral
GGUAAUAGCUCAGUGGGAGAGUGCUUGCCUGAAAUGAGUGAGGCCCUGGGUUCAAUCCUCAGCACCA